This 243-nucleotide ribosomal RNA is filed under the name uncultured bacterium. RNAcentral describes it as "partial 16S ribosomal RNA". It matches the Rfam family "Bacterial small subunit ribosomal RNA", at positions 524 to 769 of the family's 1533-position model. The record is from RNAcentral.
UACGUAGGGUGCGAGCGUUAAUCGGAAUUACUGGGCGUAAAGCGUGCGCAGGCGUUUGUAAGCCAGGUGUGAAAUCCCCGGGCUCAACCUGGGAAUGGCAUUUGGGACUGCAAGGCUGGAGUGCGGCAGAGGAGACUGGAAUUCCUGGUGUAGCAGUGAAAUGCGUAGAUAUCAGGAGGAACACCGAUGGCGAAGGCAGGUCUCUGGGCUGACACUGACGCUCAUGCACGAAAGCGUGGGAGC